UGGGGAAUAUUGCACAAUGGGCGAAAGCCUGAUGCAGCAACGCCGCGUGAGUGAUGAAGGUCUUCGGAUUGUAAAGCUCUGUCUUUUGGGACGAUAAUGACGGUACCAAAGGAGGAAGCCACGGCUAACUACGUGCCAGCAGCCGCGGUAAUACGUAGGUGGCGAGCGUUGUCCGGAUUUACUGGGCGUAAAGGGUGCGUAGGCGGAUGUUUAAGUGAGAUGUGAAAUACCCGGGCUUAACUUGGGUGCUGCAUUUCAAACUGGAUAUCUAGAGUGCAGGAGAGGAGAAUGGAAUUCCUAGUGUAGCGGUGAAAUGCGUAGAGAUUAGGAAGAACACCAGUGGCGAAGGCGAUUCUCUGGACUGUAACUGACGCUGAGGCACGAAAGCGUGGGUAGCAAACAGGAUUAGAUACCCUGGUAGUCCACGCCGUAAAACGAUGAGUACUAGGUGUAGGAGGUAUCGGCCCCUUCUGUGCCGCAGUAAAACA
This 488-nucleotide ribosomal RNA is filed under the name uncultured bacterium. Its description in RNAcentral is "partial 16S ribosomal RNA". It matches the Rfam family "Bacterial small subunit ribosomal RNA", at positions 355 to 859 of the family's 1533-position model. The record is from RNAcentral.